This is a long non-coding RNA of Pseudophryne corroboree (corroboree frog), 453 nucleotides long. RefSeq lists it as uncharacterized. Lineage: Eukaryota; Metazoa; Chordata; Amphibia; Anura; Myobatrachidae. The transcript is spliced from 4 exons. The record is from RefSeq and is a predicted model, not a curated record.
AGGUAUCGGUAAAUGUCUAUCUAGUUUCUGCCCAGAGGGAAAAGCUGCAAGAUUUACCAGGCUGAGUCACAGGUCUUCUUCAUGGGAAGUCAUACUGAAUCCAUCUUCAUAAAGCAGCUGGACCCUGUCAAAGAUAAAAGGUGAACUGGCUCUGGUCCUGACUCAGAGGCUACUAUUAAUGAUUUAUGAUUCUGAACUAUCGAGGAGACUACAGUUAGAUAUUAUGGUGAGCAAAGAGACUAUGGAAUGCCUGUAUCUCUCCUCCUCCUCUGCCAUCACAUGACAUGCGGAGAGCCCAAAGCCAGCACUGACUUUCCUGUGUCCUGUAUCUGCAGUCAUCUUUGUUUGCCCUCAAAAGAGUUAGUGAUUUAUAGGAGGAAAACAAAGAAAAAAAUAUCAAACGCAUGUUUAAACUGUACUUAGAAGAUUUUUCUUUCUUUAAAUAGAAAGCUA